AUUCCAGCUCCAAUAGCGUAUAUUAAAGUUGUUGCGGUUAAAAAGCUCGUAGUUGGAUUUCUGCCGAGGAUGACCGGUCCGCCCUGUGGGUGUGCAUCUGGCUCAGCCUUGGCAUCUUCCUGAAGAACGUAGCUGCACUUGACUGUGUGGUGCGGUAUUUAGGACAUUUACUUUGAGGAAAUUAGAGUGUUUCAAGCAAGCGCACGCUUUGAAUACAUUAGCAUGGAAUAAUAAGAUAGGACCUCGGUUCUAUUUUGUUGGUUUCUAGAGCUGAGGUAAUGAUUGAUAGGGAUAGUUGGGGGCAUUCGUAUUUAACUGUCAGGGGUGAAAUUCUUGGAUUUGUUAAAGACGGACUACUGCGAAAGCAUUUGCCAAGGAUGUUUUCAUUG
Molecule: ribosomal RNA, 389 nt
Filed under: Woloszynskia sp.
Lineage: Eukaryota; Dinophyceae; Gymnodiniales; Tovelliaceae
Description: partial small subunit ribosomal RNA
Rfam family: Eukaryotic small subunit ribosomal RNA
Source: RNAcentral